This 1565-nucleotide long non-coding RNA is filed under the name Ficedula albicollis (Collared flycatcher). RNAcentral describes it as "lncRNA (ENSFALG00000025738.1)". Lineage: Eukaryota; Metazoa; Chordata; Aves; Passeriformes; Muscicapidae. The record is from RNAcentral.
GGGGGGGGGGGGGGGGGGGGGGGGGGGGGGGGGGGGGGGGGGGGGGGGGGGGGGGGGGGGGGGGGGGGGGGGUAACCUCCAGCGCAGCACCUGGAAGCGUUUAGAUCAGAUAGCGCUGGCGUCCCGCGUGAAUUUGAUUAAGAAAUCUGUUUGUUAGGCGAGUAUAAUUAUUAGACGGUUGUAAUCAGCUCCGUUGAUAAGAGCCGUGUGCUAAUCUCCAUAGAUAAGGGGGAGCUGGGCCGGCGCUGCCGACUCGCAGGAGGAAUCACCGGCUGAUAAACAAGUCGCUGACUCCUGCCCUAGUUGCUCUAGAACCCCUUCCUUUAAUCUUCAGCCCCCACUAAAACCAUUCCCGUGUUAUUUUUGGGAGCUUAAAGCAAAUACCGUAAUUUUUUUUACUUAAUUCUUCUCUUUUUUUUUUUUUCUGUGGCGGGUAAGGACCUGGGGUUGCUGCAUGGAAUUAGACCUGACCUCACCUCCGGAGAAGGCAGUGGAUAAUCUUCUUUCGUGACUGGGUUUUAAAUGCAGACUCUUCAGUCACAAAGCUCUGAAUUUUAAUGAUGCUCGGUCGAGGGCUCUUCAUGGCUGUAACUGCAGCAAAAUUCAGGGAAAUGGGUGAAUUAAUGGGCCUUAGUGAUGUUCUGGAGUAACAAGCUCCACACUGCAUACAGAAAACAAGGAUCUGCUCCCAUUUGUGGCACUUCCCAAGGAGCUGCAGUGACUUCCGUGCUGGGCUUUGCCUUUGAUGGGAAAAACGUGGGACAGAGCAAGCCAGGCAGGUUCCUCCUUCUUUGUGCUUUUCUUCAUUGGUCAUUCAGAUGUGGCAGCUUUUUAGCUGGAAUUAUCAAGAGUUUUGAACCAAAACUUGCAUUAAUUCCCUAGAUAAAAGCACCAACUGGAAUGCAAAGAGAAAAUGUGAGGUGCUGGGUGAUAAGCCCUUGUGCUUUAGUAACACCAAGGCUGUAUUCUGAUACCCUCCUCUCCAAAGAAGUCAUUCUUUGAUAUGCAGACAACUGGCUGAAGUGUUGUUUUGAUAAUAAAAUUAAAAUAUUUUCAUUCACUGCUGCAACUUUCAUUGUGAAUUUUAACAUGAGAAAAACAUUAAAAUUUUACUUAAGUCAUGGAUUUUUUUGGCCAGGUUUUUUUAGGUCUUUUUCUUUAAGAUGUUGCCUCACUUUGCAUACUGUCUAUAGAAGGUUGAUACUACCAGUAUUAGUAUCCAGCAAAUACUGAGCUUUUCCCGUGUUGGUGUGUGUAUUUGGGCAUGGUACAGGAAGGGCAGCAGUGUUGUGUCACCUCAGAACACACAGAUUUCCAGGUGGCCCUGUGCAGGGUCAGUUCCUCGUGGUUUCUGCUCCCUGCAAGGUUUCCCAGCAGGAAAGGGCUGUGAAACCCAGCUCGUGCCAUCACACACAACACUUGAAAGUGCUUUGGAAAACAAAUUCUCCUUCUGAAUGAUUAAAUAUUUUCCUGCUGGCAAGUAUGUGUGCUUCCUGUUUUUUCCUGUCACUUUUCAUUGGCCGUGGUGCUUGGCUUUGGUGAGGUUCACGUUGGGGAAUUAAUUU